AAGACGAGAGCUUUUUAACCUUUAAAAUGAUUUGUUGAGGAUAAUGCAGCGGAAACAUAUAUCCAGCACGUUACUACAUAUAUAUCCAUCUGGACGAGAGACAUAAUGUUGCAUAAUAUGCUAUUUUAACAGUAGUAGCCGCUCAUAAAAUCUCCGUUUCUGCAAACUACAGGGGAUGCAAAUAAUAUAUAAACUAAGUUAAUGCAGGCAAUAUAUUAUUCUGCAGAAACGGGAUGUUAAGAGGAUAGUUAUGCACGCCAUGAACUGGUUAUUCCGGAGUAUACUUUUUGGAAGACGCGAUAAAGACGACCGAUAAUUCUUAUUACGUUCGAUAUAUUUACUGGAAAACGUAAUUUAUUAUGAAUGGCGAGACAGAAAAUUACCAUACAUUAUUAAUUAAUCGCUAGAUAAGCAAAUAAAGCAUGCUGUGUUUCAAAAUGGUGCAUAAAUGCCAUUGCGACAUACAAAAAUUAUCCGAUAAAGUUGCAUAUUCAGUUAUUUAAUUUAUAAUAAUCUAAUUCUUUUGCUAUUAAGAGUGUCUCAUCUUGUCAA
Molecule: long non-coding RNA, 552 nt
Organism: Pogonomyrmex barbatus (red harvester ant)
Lineage: Eukaryota; Metazoa; Arthropoda; Insecta; Hymenoptera; Formicidae
Gene: Sur
Source: RefSeq, a predicted model, not a curated record